Molecule: long non-coding RNA, 595 nt
Organism: Mauremys reevesii (Reeves's turtle)
Lineage: Eukaryota; Metazoa; Chordata; Testudines; Geoemydidae
Exons: 5
Source: RefSeq, a predicted model, not a curated record
GAACACAGCUGAGGGACAUGGGAGCUGUUGCAAGGUGGAAAGUGAGUUUCCAUUUUUGUUGAGAGAGAACUUUUAAAUUCAGAAAGAUCCAGCAUGGUUCACAGACUCUCUCAAACUCUGAAGCUGGUUCAGAAAAGAUAUUACCUCAGCCACCUUGUCUCUCUAAUAUCCUGCGACUGAUACAUCUACAACACUGUAUACAACUUUCAGCUUCAGGCUUAUCCAGUCUCAACUGUAUAAAGAAUGAAGCUCUGAAGUCCCUCUCAAACUGUCAAGUCAAACUGUCAAACAAAAUGUAGAUAACAGCAUCAACCUGAAAUCAAUAUGGUCUUCACUCUUGUAUCUGAAGACACAUUUUGUGCGUAGUAUCCAUCCCGGCUGGAAAAAAAAGGACAACCACUUGCAGAGGUUAAAGGAGGACACUAUAGUAUGAGUGUGCCAUGACAAGACACCUGGCUAGCAACUCCUGGCAUUAAAUGUAACAUGUAUGUUUUUACACAAUAGCAACAUUGCAGAGGAAAAGUAACAGCCAUUAAAAUGCUGAUGACCCAAGAGUAUUUAAAUAAAGCCUAAUAACUAUCUUUAUUUCCAUAAA